UACGUAGGGGGUGAGCGUUGUCCGGAAUCAUUGGGCGUAAAGCGCGUGUAGGCGGCCCGGUAAGUCCGCUGUGAAAGUCCAGGGCUCAACCCUGGGAUGCCGGUGGAUACUGUCGGGCUCGAGUCCGGAAGAGGCGAGUGGAAUUCCUGGUGUAGCGGUGAAAUGCGCAGAUAUCAGGAGGAACACCAAUGGCGAAAGCACUCUGCUGGGCCGACACUGACACUGAGAGACGAAAGCUAGGGGAGCGAAUGGG
RNAcentral lists this ribosomal RNA (253 nucleotides) under uncultured bacterium. Its description in RNAcentral is "partial 16S ribosomal RNA". It matches the Rfam family "Bacterial small subunit ribosomal RNA", at positions 524 to 776 of the family's 1533-position model. The record is from RNAcentral.